UACGGAGGGAGCUAGCGUUGUUCGGAAUUACUGGGCGUAAAGCGCACGUAGGCGGCUUUGUAAGUUAGAGGUGAAAGCCCAGGGCUUAACCCUGGAAUUGCCUUUAAGACUGCAUCGCUAGAAUCGUGGAGAGGUGAGUGGAAUUCCGAGUGUAGAGGUGAAAUUCGUAGAUAUUCGGAAGAACACCAGUGGCGAAGGCGACUCACUGGACACGUAUUGACGCUGAGGUGCGAAAGCGUGGGGAGCAAACAGG
Molecule: ribosomal RNA, 253 nt
Filed under: uncultured bacterium
Lineage: Bacteria
Description: partial 16S ribosomal RNA
Rfam family: Bacterial small subunit ribosomal RNA
Source: RNAcentral